UUUAAUAAUAAUUUUAAGAGGGUAAUGUAAUUACAAAAAUUUAAAGUGUUAACAUAUAACGAAAUAUAUUUUUCUUAUAUUCGAUAUAGACUUCUUGAAAUGAAAUAGAAGGAAUUACACUUAAAAUGAAGGGGCAAAUACUAUAAAAUCAAAUAUAGUUAAUGAUUGUUAAACAAAAAUCUUGAUGAAAGUGAUUCUUAGUAUAAAAUUAUAAAAUUGAAAGAUUAAAAAAUAUAAUUUUUAAAUAUUAGAUGUAACUAAUAUGAAAAAAUAUAUGGGGCAAAUAGUAAUUAUUCUUAUAAAUAAUAAUA
Molecule: long non-coding RNA, 311 nt
Filed under: Ricinus communis (castor bean)
Lineage: Eukaryota; Viridiplantae; Streptophyta; Magnoliopsida; Malpighiales; Euphorbiaceae
Description: long non-coding RNA (RCOM_LNC002915)
Source: RNAcentral